AGAGUUUGAUCCUGGCUCAGGAUGAACGCUAGCGACAGGCUUAACACAUGCAAGUCGAGGGGCAGCGGGGCUUUUGGGCAACCAGAGGCCGCCGGCGACCGGCGCACGGGUGAGUAACGCGUAUGCAACCUGCCCGGCUCAGUGGGAUAACCCGGAGAAAUCCGGACUAAUACCGCAUGCGCCCCCUUGGGGACAUCCCCUUGGGGGCAAAGGAGGCGACUCCGGAGCCGGAUGGGCAUGCGUGGCAUUAGCUGGUUGGCGGGGUAACGGCCCACCAAGGCGACGAUGCCUAGGGGUUCUGAGAGGAAGGUCCCCCACACUGGUACUGAGACACGGACCAGACUCCUACGGGAGGCAGCAGUGAGGAAUAUUGGUCAAUGGGCGGUAGCCUGAACCAGCCAAGUCGCGUGAGGGACGACGGCCCUACGGGUUGUAAACCUCUUUUGCCGGGGAGCAAAGAGCGGGACGCGUCCCGCCUCGAGAGUACCCGGAGAAAAAGCAUCGGCUAACUCCGUGCCAGCAGCCGCGGUAAUACGGAGGAUGCGAGCGUUAUCCGGAUUUAUUGGGUUUAAAGGGUGCGCAGGCGGAAGCGCAAGUCAGCGGUAAAAUUGAGAGGCUCAACCUCUUCCCGCCGUUGAAACUGCGUUUCUUGAGUGGGCGAGAAGUACGCGGAAUGCGUGGUGUAGCGGUGAAAUGCAUAGAUAUCACGCAGAACUCCGAUUGCGAAGGCAGCGUACCGGCGCCCAACUGACGCUCAUGCACGAAAGCGUGGGUAUCGAACAGGAUUAGAUACCCUGGUAGUCCACGCAGUAAACGAUGAAUACUCGCUGUCCGGGGAGAUUGGUCUCUGGGCGGCCAAGCGAAAGCGUUAAGUAUUCCACCUGGGGAGUACGCCGGCAACGGUGAAACUCAAAGGAAUUGACGGGGGCCCGCACAAGCGGAGGAACAUGUGGUUUAAUUCGAUGAUACGCGAGGAACCUUACCCGGGCUCAAACGACGGAUGAAUACUUUUGAAAGGAGGUAGUCCUUCGGGACAUCCGUCGAGGUGCUGCAUGGUUGUCGUCAGCUCGUGCCGUGAGGUGUCGGCUUAAGUGCCAUAACGAGCGCAACCCCCAUCGCCAGUUGCCAACAGGUAAAGCUGGGAACUCUGGCGAGACUGCCGGCGCAAGCUGUGAGGAAGGCGGGGAUGACGUCAAAUCAGCACGGCCCUUACGUCCGGGGCGACACACGUGUUACAAUGGCAGGUACAGAGAGAUGCGACACGGCGACGUGGAGCGGAACUGUCAAAACCUGUCUCAGUUCGGAUCGGAGUCUGCAACCCGACUCCGUGAAGCUGGAUUCGCUAGUAAUCGCGCAUCAGCCAUGGCGCGGUGAAUACGUUCCCGGGCCUUGUACUCACCGCCCGUCA
This 1408-nucleotide ribosomal RNA is filed under the name uncultured bacterium. Its description in RNAcentral is "16S ribosomal RNA". It matches the Rfam family "Bacterial small subunit ribosomal RNA". The record is from RNAcentral.